AUUUUGUUUUGUGUCUGAGUAUCCGUGUGAGCCCGUGCACGACCACCUCUGGAUGUGUGUUUGUGAGUGCCUGCAGGAGGCUCUGUGGACCCUAGAAAUAAGCAAGACUGACCCUCUAGGUGGCUUUUGGGAUAUACCCAAGCCUAGCUGAGGAGGACAAGGGGCUUGUUUUUUGGCACAGCCUUCCCCACUCUAAGUUUGAGAGUCCCUGGGCAGCGGUGGGUCUCAGAGCUCUGCUUUUCUACCUCCAGAGACAGGGUGCUCACUACCCCACCUGAUACCUCCUGGCUUAUCUUUAGAUGGCUCUGACUGUUAAGAACGAAAUUCAUCCUUCUUGAGAGAAUUCUGGUACUCCUGAGGGUCAGGUUCAGCUGCACCUCAUGCCUACAACACCCACAUCUCUACCUGCAAGCCAGAUCCUGCUCCUCAAAGGCACCACCUGCCAUAUGCCUGAGCACUGAGCUGGGCACCAAGAAUACAGAGACAAAAGACGCCAUCAGAGAUUGAGGAAGAUUUGCCCUGAGCUAACAUUUGUGUCGAUCUUCCUCUAUUUUUUGUAUGUGGGAUGCCUCCACAGCAUGGCUGAUGAGCAGAGUAGGUCUGCACGUACUCUGGGCUGCAAACCUGGGCGGCCGAAGCAGAGCAGCGCACAGAACUUUAACCCCUCGGCCACGGGGCUGGCCCCCUCAUUCUUUUUGACAGCUGCGUACCUGCUACUGGACAACUUUCUAAUCCAUUGCAAACCUUACCCAAUGAAUAACAUUGAUG
Molecule: long non-coding RNA, 768 nt
Filed under: Equus asinus (donkey)
Lineage: Eukaryota; Metazoa; Chordata; Mammalia; Perissodactyla; Equidae
Description: lncRNA (ENSEASG00005030550.1)
Source: RNAcentral